Molecule: long non-coding RNA, 418 nt
Filed under: Brassica napus (rape)
Lineage: Eukaryota; Viridiplantae; Streptophyta; Magnoliopsida; Brassicales; Brassicaceae
Description: long non-coding RNA (BNAP_LNC024244)
Source: RNAcentral
GUAGAACAAAAAUAAGGAUAUUUAACUAUGAUAUGCAAUGAAUGUAAAUCUUCCUUUUUUUUUUAAAUCGAAAAGUUAAAAUAGGAAAGUGCAAUCUUUCUUUUUUUUUAAUUUUUUUUUUAAAUAUGGAAAAACUUGAAGUGCAAGCCAAGAAAAUUAAAUGCAAUUAAAUGGAAAAUCCGAUCAAAAAGGAAAGUGAAAAUCGAUGGAUGCCAAAAAACAUAUUACUUGAAUGAAAGAUGCACAAAAACGGAUCAAAAGAUAUGCAGGAAAAAAGAAAACAAGUUGAACUCGCCAAGAACAGCAAGAACAAGUGCAAAAAUUUUUAUUUUUUUUUGAAAGACAAGAUGAUGAACCAAACAAAUAACAAAAGUAGCAAGGAUAGGAUACAACCGAAGGUGUAGGAGCUUUGAGCUCU